GUGUCGAUGAACGGAGGCACGCUCGCGUCGAUACGAUUGCGCUGGCAGUUCACAUUUUUUAAGAAAUUGCACAGCACGCCAUAAUAUCACCACAACAUGACGUGGUCGUCCACCGGGGGCUGGUUUAAUGAAAGCAGACCGACGGACAGACUUUAAGGCGUGACCAACUAAAAAAUGUGUCUCCUAAUUGUUAACUAAUAUCCGUACUGUUGGCCAUGUCGUGAAUAUAGCCGACGUAAGUCAACUAAAACUCCUCCGAGUCCCGUGUAGGUUACAGCAGCACGAAAGGCCCUGGAAAACAGUUUGUUUUUAUUUCAUCCACUAGCAUUAGUAGAGUUUGCUAUUUACUGUUUCUACAUACAGAAGCUCCUGCACAGCCACAGAGGACGAACGUCACCCAUGACCGAGAGUCCCCUCCAGACAGAACUUUCUAUGGGCUUGCCGCUGCACGGUUCACACCUCCCAUCUCGUUCUCCCUUUGGUGGUUGGCUGACUGUGAGUUAAGGAAGCGCUUGAUUUGAUGUGUAGCAGAUAGGAGUUAGGAAUUACAUUUUAGAGAACAGAGAUAAGGCAAAGGUCCAGGCUGAGUGAAAAGACACACUUGUACAGUUAUUUUGCUUACAAUGAAUCAAGCUGAGCAUGACCAGAAUCCCCCAGGGACUGGCCUUAGUACCUAAGUAUUACUGAAACUACCACCAGUAAUUACAUUACAUUACAUUACAGGUCAUUUAGCUGACGUGGCAGGCGUCACGCUCAGGUACACUUUGACCUGGGACAUGGGGAAGCCGGGACUCAAACCACCUACACUGCGGCUCCCGGUGCACCCUCUCUACCCCUGCGCCACGACAACCCCCAACGGCCUUUUAAAGCAUUAAAAUCCUAAUGUAUCUUUUCUUAGUUAUGACUUUUGAAACAUAUCAAUAAGAGAACGACAAUGGAUAAUACCUUUUGUAAGAUAUUAUUAAGGCUUACUACCCUUUUUAACACAUUCCCUUUCUUUCAUCAUUCAAGUUCUCACAGAUUUUUUAAGUCGUGCAAAACAAGUGUUAGUUUCAUCAUACUCAUUGCGUUAGUCGUCAUACUGUCCUCGAGAUAAACAGGGUUUACCAGGCUGCAUUAGAAGAGAAUAGAUGCCUUUGCUCGACUCAAUUAGUUUUUGCUGCUCUUUUGUCAUAAAGACGAAAGGCAAUAUGACGUUCGCUGGCUACAGUCAUCUGUGUAGAUAGGGAAUUUGGUUACAUCGUGUGUUGGCUGAGAGUCUCAAUUGUGCGUUAGCAACGUCUUUUGUAGAGAAAAGGCAAUCUGAAGGAGUGAAAACUGCCUGAGGCCGUCACAGCUGCCCAUCCAUUCCCAUCAAACACAAAAAUCCAGCACACACUUUGGUCUUGAUUUAUCUUACUUGACAUAUCAAUAGCAUUAGAUGCUGUUAUGUAAUAGUUCAUUUAAUGCUGUUUGGUUUAGCAGUGUGUUUCUUGUAACCAUGGCAACAAUAGUAGUUUUUACAUGGACAUAUUCAAAUAUUGAACUUCCCUGCUUUGUACAUUAUGCAAAAUCCCACUGCCUCAGUGAGUGAUGACAAAUCAGUCAGUUUGCAUGUUUAGUCCAUUAACUGCAAAUCACAUGCACGUCAAAGCACGUGGAGUGUAUAACCUAUACUUAAACCAAUAGUGUUAUUGGUUAACUCGUGUUUUGUGUUUUUACUGUGGUGUUGAAAUUGCCAUGCACACAAUUUAAACUUCUUUGAUGCACACACUCCCUUAUGUCUGCUUCCAAUGUUGUAUUUUUUACUUUCUGUGUGAUAUAAGUGUAUAGCGCCAGAAUCACCAGCAAUAACACAGUCACGAUGUUCACCCUUAAUUAUAAAAUGAAUUAAUGGCAGUCGUUGCCUUCCUGAAAAUCAAUAAAUUAUAUUUUAAAAGUGAA
Non-coding RNA from Gasterosteus aculeatus aculeatus (three-spined stickleback), 1923 nucleotides. The record is from RefSeq and is a predicted model, not a curated record. NCBI's taxonomy places the organism in Eukaryota, Metazoa, Chordata, Actinopteri, Perciformes, Gasterosteidae.